Long non-coding RNA from Hemiscyllium ocellatum (epaulette shark), 895 nucleotides. RefSeq lists it as uncharacterized. Lineage: Eukaryota; Metazoa; Chordata; Chondrichthyes; Orectolobiformes; Hemiscylliidae. The record is from RefSeq and is a predicted model, not a curated record. The transcript is spliced from 2 exons.
ACCAGAAGACUGCAGGGCAGCUAAUGCUGUUCCAUCACUUCAGGGUUGCAGGGAAACAGCAGGAAAUUACAACCCCGUGAGCCCAGUGCUGGGACCAUUUUUGUGAAUCUCCUCUGAACACACUCCAGGGACUGUACAACCUUCCUUAGUUAUGGGCACAAAACGGUACACAAUACUCCAAUGUGGUCUGACCAGAGUCUUAUCGAGCCUCAGAAAUCCAACUCUGCUUUAAUAUUCAAGUCCUCUCAAAAUAAAUGCCAUCACUGUAUUUGCCUUUCUGACCGGGCGGACCACCUGAAAGAAUAAUCUUACGAUGGGCAAUAAUAGAUUAACCAUGGAGUUACAAAAAUGAACAAUGAUUAAUGCAUACGGGGAAAUGGAUCCCAACUUUGACUAAAGUCUCUAUGGUAAUCAACAUGCUGCAGAAUCUAGACAGGCUGCAGUUACACACAGAUGGUUUGCAAACAAGCCUGACAGCUCCAGACCCUGUAAUACUCACCUGAAGUUGGACCUGAAUGUGACAAGGGAAUAUUGCCCUUGAGCCAAACAAUGGUUGAGUCUGAUUGAUCAGGGUAAAUGAACCUGAUCAUUCCAUUGACAGAUCCUCCUUACCUUCCCAAAAAGGUGUGCAGACUUCGAAGGAUAAAAUCACCACAAAACACCACACAGUGCAGUAACUCGAGAAUAACCACGGAAAGAGAACACACCUCCAAGACCAUCAGAAGUACAAGAAGACAUCACCAAGUCGAGCCCGGUCAACUUCUAGUGGGGUGGUUUGCGAUCAUCCAAAGUUACGUUCAAGCAUAAGAUCAUUUGUAGCGUUUAUCAUUGUAUUACAAUACAUUUUACUGUUAUAAUAUUAAAUGUGUUCAAUAAACAAAUAUUGUUUGAAAGA